AGAGUUUGAUCAUGGCUCAGAGUGAACGCUGGCGGCAUGCCUAACACAUGCAAGUCGAACGGGUCCUAUCAGUUCACCGGUAGGGCGAGUGGCAGACGGGUGAGUAAUACGUGGGCAAUUUGCCUUCGAGAAGGGGACAACCUUGGGAAACCAAGGCUAAUACCGCAUGAGACCACGGUCCGGCAUCGGACUGGGGCCAAAGCUCCGCAAGGGGCGCUCGAAGAGAAGCCCACGGCCUAUCAGCUAGUUGGCGGGGUAACGGCCCACCAAGGCUACGACGGGUAAGCGGUCUGAAAGGACGACCGCUCACAAUGGCACUGAGACACGGGCCAUACUCCUACGGGAGGCAGCAGUGGGGAAUUUUGCGCAAUGGGGGAAACCCUGACGCAGCGAUGCCGCGUGGAGGACGAAGGUCUUCGGAUUGUAAACUCCUUUUGCGGGGGAAAAAUGGCGGCGUGAAGAACGCCGUUCGAUGGUACUCCGCGAAUAG
RNAcentral lists this ribosomal RNA (490 nucleotides) under uncultured Magnetobacterium sp. Its description in RNAcentral is "bacterial SSU rRNA". It matches the Rfam family "Bacterial small subunit ribosomal RNA", at positions 8 to 489 of the family's 1533-position model. The record is from RNAcentral. Lineage: Bacteria; Pseudomonadati; Nitrospirota; Thermodesulfovibrionia; Thermodesulfovibrionales; Magnetobacteriaceae (SeqCode).